This 43-nucleotide ribosomal RNA is filed under the name Lactarius tesquorum. Its description in RNAcentral is "partial 28S ribosomal RNA". Lineage: Eukaryota; Fungi; Basidiomycota; Agaricomycetes; Russulales; Russulaceae. The record is from RNAcentral.
AACCCUUGACCUCAAAUCGGUGGAGAGUACCCGCUGAACUUAA